CAGCCGCCGCGGUAAUACGAAGGGGGCUAGCGUUGUUCGGAAUUACUGGGCGUAAAGGGCGCGUAGGCGGCCAUUCAAGUUAGAUGUGAAAGCCCUGGGCUCAACCUAGGAAUUGCAUUUGAUACUGUUUGGCUUGAGUUCGGGAGAGGUGAGUGGAAUUCCCAGUAUAGAGGUGAAAUUCGUAGAUAUUGGGAAGAACACCAGCGGCGAAGGCGGCUCACUGGACCGACACUGACGCCGAGGCGCGAAAGCGUGGGGAGCAAACAGGAUUAGAUACCCGCGUAGUCCCUGUCUCUUAUAC
RNAcentral lists this ribosomal RNA (301 nucleotides) under uncultured bacterium. Its description in RNAcentral is "partial 16S ribosomal RNA". It matches the Rfam family "Bacterial small subunit ribosomal RNA", at positions 509 to 807 of the family's 1533-position model. The record is from RNAcentral.